This 499-nucleotide ribosomal RNA is filed under the name uncultured bacterium. RNAcentral describes it as "partial 16S ribosomal RNA". It matches the Rfam family "Bacterial small subunit ribosomal RNA", at positions 28 to 507 of the family's 1533-position model. The record is from RNAcentral.
GACGAACGCUGGCGGCGUGCCUAAUACAUGCAAGUCGAGCGGACUGAAUGGGAGCUUGCUCUUGUUCGGUCAGCGGCGGACGGGUGAGUAACACGUGGGCAACCUGCCCGCAAGACCGGGAUAACUCCGGGAAACCGGAGCUAAUACCGGAUAACACCGAAGACCGCAUGGUCUUUGGUUGAAAGGCGGCGCAAGCUGCCACUUGCGGAUGGGCCCGCGGCGCAUUAGCUAGUUGGUGAGGUAACGGCUCACCAAGGCGACGAUGCGUAGCCGGCCUGAGAGGGUGACCGGCCACACUGGGACUGAGACACGGCCCAGACUCCUACGGGAGGCAGCAGUAGGGAAUCUUCCGCAAUGGGCGAAAGCCUGACGGAGCGACGCCUCGUGAGCGAAGAAGGCCUUCGGGUCGUAAAGCUCUGUUGUGAGGGACGAAGGAGCGCCGUUUGAAGAAGGCGGCGCGGUGACGGUACCUCACGAGGAAGCCCCGGCUAACUACGUG